CAUCCGCAAAAUUGAGCUUCAAUCUUUCCCUUUUAAGUCGAAGCACAAAGCCGAAAGGGGGAUCCCAAGAAUGGGGGUGUUUGGGAACGGCUGCAAAAAAAUUCAGAAGGGUUUGGAGCUGAGAGAGUUCUGGAAGCUGAAGGGUCUGUGUGCUUUGCAGAAACAAAAAUGACGGAAGACGAGGGCGGCAUAAAUGAUAAACCAUAAACCAAACGCCCCCCAUUCCCCCAUUUCCACAAAAGCAGAGAGGAACAGUGAUGACCCUGCAAGAGACCCGGGGAAGAAGAAGUCACUCAAAGCAAAUGUCACGGAUUCGGAAUCCCCAGAAAUGGGGUUUUCCACGAAAGAAAGGAAAUUCUGAAAAUUCCAAUUCGCUCAGCUAGCAUUGUAAUUCGUGCGCCUUCCGGGGCCUGAUUGAUGUAUGGGUUGGUAGGGAUUUUCUUUAUUUCUCAUCCUCCUACAAGUAAGUCAGUACAAGUUUCAAACUCCUCAUCGACAACACAAAGUCCAUAUCUUUGUCACAAGGGGAACACACCCGAGGCUGGGUAAUGAGUAAUGACCUUUCUUUUCACCCUUUUUUGUUCUUUAACUGUUUGCUUGGAAGCAGUUUAGUUCUGUCUCUCGCCAAUUACUCUCUACUCAUUUUCAGUAAGUUUGUUUCAUGAGAAAUGUAUAUGUUCACAUAAACAAAAUUUGCCAUUGUCCUGAGUAGAUUAGAGUAAGUUUAGAUACCUGAAUUUUGUGACCAAAUGGUGGGUCAGGAUAAGCAUCUCCAGCUUGGCUAGCUCGUUUCCAGGGCAGGCGUGAACUCCAUUCCCAAAUGGCAUAAAUGUAUUGGGUUUUGGUGCAACCUAUUAUAUAUGUACCCAUUUACAUAUUUAUAUAUAAGCCCCAUUAUUAUAUCAA
Malania oleifera is the source of this 906-nucleotide long non-coding RNA. RefSeq lists it as uncharacterized. Lineage: Eukaryota; Viridiplantae; Streptophyta; Magnoliopsida; Santalales; Ximeniaceae. The record is from RefSeq and is a predicted model, not a curated record. The transcript has 2 exons.